RNAcentral lists this long non-coding RNA (560 nucleotides) under Helianthus annuus (common sunflower). RNAcentral's name for it is "hypothetical non coding rna". The record is from RNAcentral. Lineage: Eukaryota; Viridiplantae; Streptophyta; Magnoliopsida; Asterales; Asteraceae.
GUAGGACAACCCUUAAAAGGCUUAAUACAACGCACAUUCUACAUUUUAUUUGGUUAAUUGCUUGAAUUAGAUAACCACUUCAUGAUUGGAUUAUGCAGGUGUUAAAGCCACCAAGAUGUAAAUUUUAGGAGGCAUGAAGGAAUGAUAAAAGUUAUUGGAGUCAAAAAUGGAAGAAGUAAAGUUUGGUGGAUGAAAAAGAGAGAAGCAAGCUGAUCACCGUAACUUACGGCUCCGACUGAUCUAAAAUUGUAACCUAUGGCAUUUAAUGCCAUUUUGAUGGAUUUUGAUGGUGCUUAUCAUGGGAUUUUCGGUUACAAAAGCUGGAAAAACGUGGGAGGAGCAUAAAAGGGGAACUUGGGAGCUCUAAAACAGCAUCUUUUGGAUAUCUAAUCAUCUUGGAACUAUCCUUUCACUAAAUCUUGAUCUAGUUCUUGUUGGUGAAGUUUGUGAACAAUAUUUCCUUUCUAUUUUGGUAUGAUGUUAGUUAAAGCCAUGAGUGGCUAAAUACUUGGUGAUUAUCUUGUGUUGAAGGUUUGAGUAAGACUAUGUUAACUUGUUAA